RNAcentral lists this ribosomal RNA (607 nucleotides) under Ploeotia sp. RNAcentral describes it as "SSU rRNA". It matches the Rfam family "Eukaryotic small subunit ribosomal RNA", at positions 289 to 1706 of the family's 1831-position model. Lineage: Eukaryota; Euglenozoa; Ploeotarea; Ploeotiida; Ploeotiidae. The record is from RNAcentral.
GCGGAACGGGACGAAUUUCUGCCUUAUCAGCUUUCGAUGACCGUGCAGUGAACGGCCACGGCGAUAACGAGUCACGGGGAAUCAGGGUUCGAUUCCGGAGAGGGCGCCUGAGAAACGGCGACCAGAUCUAAGGAUUGCAGCAGGCACGUAAAUUGCCCAAUGGCAGCUCGCUGUUGAGGCAGUGACGAGAAAUAACAACACCGGCCGAAAUAACUUCGGCCGGUGAUUGUAAUGAACGGUAUCCAAAGGAGCAAUCAUGGUCCCGAGAGUCGGAAAGCUUAUCUCUUAGAUGGGACUGGCAGUGCCCUUUCAACUCCCGGAAGAAUGUGCCUUUCACAGGUCUGUGAUGCUCCGCAAUGUUCUGGACUGCACGCGCACUACACUGGCACAGGCAACAAGCGGCAAACCGUGCUUCUUAGCCGGUUCCUCCUUUGAAGAGAGCUUGGUAAUCUUUGGAAACCGUGUCGUGAUUGGGGAUAGGAGAUUGCAAUUAUUUUCCCUGAACGAGGAAUGCCCAGUAGGGACGGUUCAUCAAACCGUUCCGAUUGCGUCCCUGGCAUUUGUACACACCGCCCGUCGUUGUGAUCGAUUGGAUGUUGCAUAGAGG